CUUCAAUAUCGUUUUAGCAACAGAAAGUGAUACGCAGAGAUAUAAUUUCGGGCUACCUCAUCAUUUUUAUCCCUUGUCUCGAAGCCUUAACAGAGAGAGGUGAGAAGCACCUUUCUUUUGCCAAGAGGCUUCGAUCAGAUUCAAUCGACCCUGAGUGUUAUCUCAUAUUUGAGGUUAAGCGGGAAGUUUGAGUAAAAGUUGGUUAUACAUAUCAACAAUGGAGGACAUUCCGAUC
Salvia splendens (bonfire salvia) is the source of this 235-nucleotide long non-coding RNA. RefSeq lists it as uncharacterized. Lineage: Eukaryota; Viridiplantae; Streptophyta; Magnoliopsida; Lamiales; Lamiaceae. The record is from RefSeq and is a predicted model, not a curated record. The transcript has 3 exons.